This 1225-nucleotide ribosomal RNA is filed under the name Nabis viridulus. RNAcentral's name for it is "SSU rRNA". It matches the Rfam family "Eukaryotic small subunit ribosomal RNA", at positions 616 to 1771 of the family's 1831-position model. The record is from RNAcentral. Lineage: Eukaryota; Metazoa; Arthropoda; Insecta; Hemiptera; Nabidae.
GGGGUAAAAAGUUUGUAUUUGGUUUUGCGUCCCAAGCUUUCGGUACCCCGUUUGUCGGUGCAACUGGCAUGUCGUGGCAUGUCCUGUCGGUGGUGACCGGGUUUCGGGCACUGAAGGUCUUUGAUGUGCCCGUUUGAAAUUCCGGUUGCCGACUAUAUCCUACCGCGGUGCUUUUCAUUGAGUGUCGAGGUAGGCCGACACGUUCACUUUGAACAAAUUAGAGUGCUUAAAGCAGGCCAAAAUCUCCGCCCUGAAUAGUGGUGCAUGGAAUGAUGGAACAGGACCUUGGUUCUAUUUUAUUGGUUUUCGGAACACAAGGUAAUGAUCAAUAUGGACAGGCGGGGGCAUUCGUAUUGCGACGUUAGAGGUGAAAUUCUUGGAUCGUCGCAAGACGCACUAGAGCGAAAGCAUUUGCCAAGUAUGUCUUAAUUGAUCAAGAACGAAAGUUAGAGGUUCGAAGGCGAUCAGAUACCGCCCUAGUUCUAACCAUAAACGAUGCCAGCCAGCGAUCCGCCGAUGUUCCUCCGAUGACUCGGCGGGGAGCUUUCCCCGGGAAACCAAAGCUUUUGGGUUCCGGGGGAAGUAUGGUUGCAAAGCUGAAACUUAAAGGAAUUGACGGAAGGGCACCACCAGGAGUGGAGCCUGCGGCUUAAUUUGACUCAACACGGGAAACCUCACCAGGUCAGGACAUUGGAAGGAUUGACAGAUUGAUAGCUCUUUCUUGAUUCAGUGGGUAGUGGUGCAUGGCCGUUCUUAGUUGGUGGAUCGAUUUGUCUGGUUAAUUCCGAUAACGAACGAGACUCUAGCCUAUUAACUAGGCGAUCCUGGUAUCGUAGCUACCAGCGAUACAUAUUCUUCUUAAGGGGACAGGCGGCUUAUAGCCGCACGAGAUUGAGCAAUAACAGGUCUGUGAUGCCCUUAGAUGUCCUCGGCCGCACGCGCGCUACACUGAAGGAAUCAGCGUGUGCGUUCCCUUGGCCGAAAGGUCCGGGUAACCCGCUGAACCUCCUUCGUGCUAGGAAUUGGGGCUUGCAAUUGUUCCCCAUGAACGAGGAAUUCCCAGUAAGCGCGAGUCAUAAGCUCGCGUUGAUUACGUCCCUGCCCUUUGUACACACCGCCCGUCGCUACUACCGAUUGAAUGAUUUAGUGAGGUCUUCGGACUGGCGGUAAGCCUUAUCGACUUGUCCGUUUUGCUGAACGCUGGAAAGAUGACCAAACUUGAUCA